UAAAGAAUUUCGGUUAUCGAUGGGGAUGCGUUCCAUUAGUUAGUUGGCGGGGUAACGGCCCACCAAGACGACGAUGGAUAGGGGUUCUGAGAGGAAGGUCCCCCACAUUGGAACUGAGACACGGUCCAAACUCCUACGGGAGGCAGCAGUGAGGAAUAUUGGUCAAUGGACGAGAGUCUGAACCAGCCAAGUAGCGUGAAGGAUGACUGCCCUAUGGGUUGUAAACUUCUUUUAUAUGGGAAUAAAACAGGGUAUGCAUACCCUCUUGUAUGUACCAUAUGAAUAAGGAUCGGCUAACUCCGUGCCAGCAGCCGCGGUAAUACGGAGGAUCCGAGCGUUAUCCGGAUUUAUUGGGUUUAAAGGGAGCGUAGGUGGAUUGUUAAGUCAGUUGUGAAAGUUUGCGGCUCAACCGUAAAAUUGCAGUUGAAACUGGCAGUCUUGAGUACAGUAGAGGUGGGCGGAAUUCGUGGUGUAGCGGUGAAAUGCUUAGAUAUCACGAAGAACUCCGAUUGCGAAGGCAGCUCACUGGACUGCAACUGACACUGAUGCUCGAAAGUGUGGGUAUCAAACAGGAUUAGAUACCCUGGUAGUCCACACAGUAAACGAUGAAUACUCGCUG
Molecule: ribosomal RNA, 619 nt
Filed under: uncultured bacterium
Lineage: Bacteria
Description: bacterial SSU rRNA
Rfam family: Bacterial small subunit ribosomal RNA
Source: RNAcentral